This is a small nuclear RNA of Pteronotus mesoamericanus, 107 nucleotides long. The record is from RefSeq and is a predicted model, not a curated record. NCBI's taxonomy places the organism in Eukaryota, Metazoa, Chordata, Mammalia, Chiroptera, Mormoopidae.
GUGCUGGUUUUGGCAGCACAUACACUAAAGCUGAACAGAUACAGAGAAGAUUAGUACGGCCCCAGCACAAGGAUGACGCACAAAUUUGCAAAGCGUUCUAUAUUUUU